GUGUAAGCUGGCAGCUUUUAGCCUAUCAGAGCUCCAAAUGACGGUAUGAAUGGGUAUGACAACAAGGAAGUGUAUAAUCUCGGGCUUUGAAACACCUACAGAAGGGGCCAGACUGUGGUUGGCCAGGGACCCUUAUUUAGUGUUAAACUGCUAUAAAGUGGUUUAACACUGAAUGGAGGGACAGUGCCAUGGGACUCCAGGCACUAUAACAAAUUCAAAGAGAUGAAAUGCCUAUAGGGACAUCAAUGUCCCUUUAAAUCUGUAAUUCACUUUAAAUUCCUGACAAUUCUCACCUUGGUAAAUAACCCUGUAGAAAUUUCAUCCUCCAAAUAUUUAUCACUUUAAAAAUCCAUACCGAUGAUCUAUGUUAAUAAUAACAUAUACAAAUCAGGUACACUGCUUAACGGAGAUCUUUAUUUAACAUGCACAUAAGAAACACUGUUGCACUUAAAAUUAAUGCUGAUAACAAGCCAUUAGGAACCAUGUUUUAAGAUACUGGCGCCUUGAAUACAGUAAAAACCAAUGAUAAACACUGCAUAACAAUACAUGUUACAUUAAAAAAAGAAAGAAAAUAGAGAUGGUUUAAUGUUUCAUAUGCUCAACCUCCACCAAGUCUGUACGUUAAUGUGCCCGUUCUGUAAGAUAAAUGAACAGAUUUAUCUAGUUAACAUUCCCUGGUGUCACUUGGAUCUGCAUCUUGCCUGUUUCUGCAGACAUUAAAUUUUCUGUGAUAAAUUGCUGAUGACAUACAUGACGGUGCUCAUAAUAUGCAAGCUGCGAAUACCAUCGGAAGCUUUUUUCUUUAGAUAAUUCUAAACGCUACCCUGCUUAUUAGGGGUGGACAAAAGGCAUAUCCUCAGCUGCUGCAGAACUACAACUUCAAUGUGGCUGUUACAGCCUUAAGGUUGGAAAGGCAUGACGGAGGUUGUAGUUCUACAACAACUGGGCAUAAAACUUUUGGCAAGAAAUUGUGCCAACACAGAUAUAAAUUGUGCCAACACAGAUAUAAAUAUAAUUCUCCCAAACCUUUAGGAUUAUUCAUGACUGACAAAUUAGCAGUAAGCAUCACAAAGAAUACCAACCCAGUCUGUGUACAGCCCUUAAGAGUAAAUACAGUCAUCCAAUGAUACAGUAUGGUUUCAGCGUUCACCAGCCUCCAUACAUAAUAGUGGCGACUUUACAGGCUUCUGUGCCUUUAGUGCAGGUGGGUUAAUCGAAAUAAUGAAUUCCUGAUUAACUGGUAAUGUGUGCCAAAGUGUGCCUGUACUCUAAAAAUUGGAGGUAAAGAAACCCAACAGUAAAUCAAAUUCAAUGAAUGCUCAGAAAAAUCGUCAAAGACAGUGUAAUGGAAAUCAUGAUACAUUGCAUCCUGAGAAUCAUGGCGAUAGCUUUAGUGUAGGUGAAAGGAUAAGUAAACGCCAUCUUCUUUGUAAAAUAACUGAAGAGUGCAAAUACGUAGGGGCAAAACAAUAUAAUCUCUUCAAGAAUAUAUAGCAUCUGUGUCCUCUGUGACGGAGUCAGAAGAAAGCUUCAUUUGCUGAAAUGAAAAAGAUAGAAAGAGUUAAAGGCAGCAGCUGUGAUUUUAGCAAAAUUAUCCCAUCCAAGGAAAAGCUAAAAAGUCAAGGCAUUUCCUCAUGUUUAUCAAUACAAUACAGUCUACAGGGGUGUUCUGUUUGUGCAUAUCGCAUUAAGUUAGGUGGCAAAGUGAUAGGAAUGAAAACAGGUGGCAAUGUGAUAAGUUUCUAUUGGUGCUUGUGAUAGGACGGUAGGUGGCAGUGUGAUAUGAGUUUCUAUUUGUGCUUGUGAUAUGAUGGUAGGUGGCAAUGUGAGGGGACUUCUCUUGGUGCAUGUAGUAUGAAGGUAGGUGUCAAUGUGAUGAAGUUUCUCUUGGUGCUUGUAGUAUGAAGGUAGGUGUCAAUGUGAUGGGAAUUCUCUUGGUGUUUGUAGUAUGAAGGUAGGUGGCAAUGUGAUGGAACUUCUCUUGGUGUUUGUAGUAUGAAGGUAGGUGUCAAUGUGAUGAAGUUUCUCUUGGUGCUUGUAGUAUGAAGGUAGGUGUCAAUGUGAUGGGAAUUCUCUUGGUGUUUGUAG
This is a non-coding RNA of Pelobates cultripes (western spadefoot toad), 2088 nucleotides long. The record is from the annotation of a GenBank genome assembly. NCBI's taxonomy places the organism in Eukaryota, Metazoa, Chordata, Amphibia, Anura, Pelobatidae.